This is a non-coding RNA of Micropterus salmoides (largemouth bass), 358 nucleotides long. The record is from the annotation of a RefSeq genome assembly. NCBI's taxonomy places the organism in Eukaryota, Metazoa, Chordata, Actinopteri, Centrarchiformes, Centrarchidae.
UAACAACUCCAAAGACAUGUUGCUUUACCUCUUUUUACUUUGCUCUCACUUCAUAGCCCUGGGUUCCAUGAACAGCAUAACGCCAGAAAGUCCUGAAGAACAUGUUGCAGAGGGAGGAAACAUCAACCUGACCUGUAAAUAUGAGGGUUUCAUCACCAAUAUCCAGUGGUACCGACAAUACCAGAGAUCCAGACCAGAGUUCCUGCUCUCCAUCACAGAAGGAGGAACGAUUCAUCCAACUGGUUCAGUUUUCUCAGCUCACAUUAACAAAACAGACAAGCGUGUGAAUCUGGAGAUCAUCUCAGCUAAAGUGACAGACUCUGCUGUGUACUACUGUGCUCUGCGGCCCACAGUGACA